Brachypodium distachyon (stiff brome) is the source of this 2265-nucleotide RNA transcript. It is a transcript of the gene named glycine oxidase, with no coding region annotated. The record is from RefSeq and is a predicted model, not a curated record. The transcript is spliced from 11 exons. Lineage: Eukaryota; Viridiplantae; Streptophyta; Magnoliopsida; Poales; Poaceae.
GACCCGCCACUCCCUCCUUCCUCGGUCUGCCCGCCUCUCCACUCUGUCGCCGUGCGCUCCGCUCACCAGUCACCAGCACUCCAGCAGUUUCAUCGCCUGAUCGCCUCUCCUCUCUUCUCCGCUUCCGAUGGCCGCCAUCGCCUUCUCCACCGCUCCAAACCCCAAGCCCACGCCCUUCUCCUCCGCUUACCCGUCCUCUAUCGCGCACCCCUUCGCCGUCUGCCUCCAACGGCGGCGGUGGCGGCGUCCGUUCCCGGCUCUCAGAUCCCAGCCCUCUGCCUCCGCCUCCGUCUCAACCUCACACCAUGACGUGGUCGUUGUGGGUGCCGGGAUCGUCGGGCUCUCCAUCGCCCGCCACCUCCUCCUCAACACCCCGCUCUCCGUCGCCGUCGCCGACGCCGCCGUCCCGUGCUCAGGCGCCACCGGCGCAGGGCAGGGGUACGUAUGGAUGUCGCACCGGACGCCUGGGAGUGACACGUGGGAGCUGGCGGUGCGGAGCAAGCAGCUGUGGGAGGAGCUCGCGGACGAGAUGGAUGGCCUCGGCGGCGGAGGUGCGCGUGAGAGUCUGGGCUGGAUGAAGACAGGGAGCUUAUUAGUUGGAAGAACCUCUGAAGAGCUGGCUACACUGGAGGAGAAGACCAAGGUUUUCUGUCAGGCAGGCGUACAUGCGGAGUGUUUGUCUGCUUCUUCAUUGCGUUUAUUAGAACCCGCACUCUCUGUCGGAAAUGAAGGUGGUGCUAUGCUCUUGCCUAAAGACCGCCAGAUUGAUGCAUUCCGAGCCGUGUCUUCGAUUGAAAAGAUUAAUAGCUCAUAUUCCCCAGAAGGGAGAUAUAUGGCGCUCUACAAUGAUCCUGCCAUGUCAUUGAUAAGAUCAGAGGUUACUGGAAGAGUUGAAGCUGUCCAAACUUCUAAGAACAUAUUAUAUGGCAGAAAAGCUAUUGUGGUUGCUUCUGGUGCUUGGACUCGUUCGUUAUUGCAUAAUUUCCUAGGACCAAAUUCCACAUUGGAUAUUCCUGUCAAACCACGAAAGGGUCAUCUGCUUGUGUUGGAGAAAUUCGACAAGCUUAAGCUCAGUCAUGGCAUAAUGGAGCUAGGAUAUGUUGACCAUCAAGAUGUUAAGUUAAAUAGCGUACCCUUGUCGUCAAAAUCCAAUGAAGAUGAGCAUGAUGAUUUAUCCAUAUCAAUGACUGCAACAUUAGAUACGAAGGGCAAUUUGGUUCUAGGUAGCAGCCGAGAGUUUAAAGGAUUUUCGAGGGAGGUUGACAGGUCUAUACUUAAGUGUAUUUGGGACCGUGCAGGGGAGUUCUUUCCUGCAUUGACCAAUGUUCAUCUUGAUAUUGAGCAGAACACAGAUAUCAGAGUCGGGCACCGUCCUUAUAUGCCUGAUGGAAAGCCAGUUAUUGGCUUUGUUCCGGAUCUGUCAAAUGUUUUGAUUGCAACAGGACAUGAAGGAAGUGGACUUGCUUUGCCCUUCACUGUGAUGAGGUCCAACUUUUGGGUUUCCAUAUGCAUAAGAUGGGAGUAGCAAAUGCUGGUGCCAUCUAGAGAGCAGAAUAAAGCUAAAGGCUAAGGGCAUUUUCUUGUCAUGCAUGAUCAAGCUUUAUCUCCUUCGAUUAUGUGCCAUUUACUUGCUAAUAUUGGCACUCUGAACCAACCUACCUACAGAUAGCUUAAAUCAGGCAUUAGGUACUGCUGAAAUGGUCACGGAUAUGAUUAUUGAUAAUCCUGGAAGAGUGGAUUUCACACCUUUCUCCAUUGAAAACAGAUUUUCAGGAUGACCAUUUAUCCAGAGGCCCUCCUUGAGCUCCUCAAGCGUCAAACUACCGUUCUUGUCCUUGUCCAUCGUAUGGAACAUCUGAGUGUAGUUGUUGAUCUCCUCCACCGGUAAAUUCUUGGCAACGAUCUUGGUUAAUCAUAGGGAAACGGUUCACAUCAAAGUACAUCGCACUGGAAAGAAAUUAAGAACAAUAAUGCCCCAGUUCUGUGCAACUUACACCAAGUGCCUUCUUUUUGAACUUGUUCAUGGAUGAGAAUUGCUUCAGCCUGGAUCGAACAAGCUCUCCGAGCGACACAUUUGGAGCCUUAUCGGCAUUCUUGAUCCAUGGAUGCUCUGUUUUGUAUGAGAAAACUCUUCAGUACGUAAUGCUAUUCCCUGUGCAUCACUAGUCUCCACGUUUUUCAAUAAUAUCAAGAACAAAACAAAUUUGUAGCAAACUUCCAGUAUGUCUGCAUGUGGAUUAUGAAUGCACCGUGUUUGUCUGUGAA